Molecule: transfer RNA, 74 nt
Filed under: Edwardsiella phage vB_EtaM_ET-ABTNL-9
Lineage: Duplodnaviria; Heunggongvirae; Uroviricota; Caudoviricetes
Description: tRNA-Arg
Source: RNAcentral
GCGACAUUAGCUCAACUGGAUAGAGCACGUUCCUUCUAAGAAUGGGGUUGGGGAUUCAAGUUCCUCAUGUCGCA